AUUGAACGCUGGCGGCAGGCUUAACACAUGCAAGUCGAGCGGGGUGAUGGUGCUUGCACUAUCACUUAGCGGCGGACGGGUGAGUAAUGCUUAGGAAUCUGCCUAUUAGUGGGGGACAACAUCUCGAAAGGGAUGCUAAUGCCGCAUACGUCCUACGGGAGAAAGCAGGGGAUCACUUGUGACCUUGCGCUAAUAGAUGAGCCUACGUCGGAUUAGCUAGUUGGUGGGGUAAAGGCCUACCAAGGCGACGAUCUGUAGCGGGUCUGAGAGGAUGAUCCGCCACACUGGGACUGAGACACGGCCCAGACUCCUACGGGAGGCAGCAGUGGGGAAUAUUGGACAAUGGGGGGAACCCUGAUCCAGCCAUGCCGCGUGUGUGAAGAAGGCCUUAUGGUUGUAAAGCACUUUAAGCGAGGAGGAGGCUCUUUUGGUUAAUACCCAAGAUGAGUGGACGUUACUCGCAGAAUAAGCACCGGCUAACUCUGUGCCAGCAGCCGCCGUAA
This 503-nucleotide ribosomal RNA is filed under the name uncultured bacterium. RNAcentral describes it as "partial 16S ribosomal RNA". It matches the Rfam family "Bacterial small subunit ribosomal RNA", at positions 30 to 523 of the family's 1533-position model. The record is from RNAcentral.